GAUGAACGCUGGCGGCGUGCCUAAUACAUGCAAGUCGAGCGGAUGGACGAAAAUCGCUCCUCUCUGAUGUUAGCGGCGGACGAGUGAUUACCACGUGUAUAACCUACCUAUAAGGAUGAGAUAACUUCGGGGAAGCGGAUCUAACACCGGAUAAUAUGUUGAACCGCAUGGUUCAAAAGUGAUAGAGGGUCUUGCUGUCACUAAUAGGUGUAUCCGCGUUGCAUUAGCUAGUUGGUACGGUAACGGCCUACCAAGGCGACGAUGCAUAGCCGACCUGAGAGGAUGAUCAGCCACACUGGAACUGAGACACGGUCCAGACUCCUACGGGAGGCAGCAGUAGGGAAUCUUCGACAAUGGGCGAAAGCCUGAUGCAGCCAUGCCGCGUGAGUGAAGAAGGUCUUCGGAUCGUAAAGCUCUGUUAGUAGGGAAGAAGGGAAGUAUGAGUAACCCUUGCUAUUUUGACGUUACCUACUGAGAAAGCAACGGCUAACUACGUG
Molecule: ribosomal RNA, 497 nt
Filed under: uncultured bacterium
Lineage: Bacteria
Description: partial 16S ribosomal RNA
Rfam family: Bacterial small subunit ribosomal RNA
Source: RNAcentral